AGUCGAGCGCACCUUUCGGGGUGAGCGGCGGACGGGUGAGUAACGCCCCCCAAUAUGCCCUAUGGUGCGGAACAACUGAGGGAAACUUCCGCUAAUACCGCAUGUGCCCUACGGGGGAAAGAUUUAUCGCCCUAGGAGUAGCCCGCGUUGGAUUAGUUUGUUGGUGGGGUAAUGGCUCACCCAGACUACGAUCCAUAGCUGGUCUGAGAGGAUGAUCCGCCCCCCUGGGACUGAGACACGGCCCAGACUCCUACGGGAGGCAGCAGUAGGGAAUCUUGCGCAAUGGGCGAAAGCCUGACCCAGCCAUGCCGCGUGAAUGAUGAAGGUCUUAGGAUUGUAAAAUUCUUUCACCGGGGACGAUAAUGACGGUACCCGGAGAAGAAGCUCCGGCUAACUUCGUGCCAGCAGCCGCGGUAAUACGAAGGGGGCUAGCGUUGCUCGGAAUUACUGGGCGUAAAGGGCGCGUAGGCGGACAGUUUAGUCAGAGGUGAAAGCCCAGGGCUCAACCUUGGAAUAGCCUUUGAUACUGACUGUCUUGAGUACGGGAGAGGUGUGUGGAACUCCGAGUGUAGAGGUGAAAUUCGUAGAUAUUCGGAAGAACACCAGUGGCGAAGGCGACACACUGGCCCGUUACUGACGCUGAGGCGCGAAAGCGUGGGGAGCAAACAGGAUUAGAUACUCUGGUAGUCCACGCUGUAAACGAUGAGUGCUAGUUGUCGGCAUGCAUGCAUGUCGGUGACCCACCUAACGCAUUAAGCCCUCCGCCUGGGAGUACGGUCGCCAGAUUAAAACUCCAAGAAUUGACCGGGGCC
This 812-nucleotide ribosomal RNA is filed under the name uncultured Alphaproteobacteria bacterium. RNAcentral describes it as "bacterial SSU rRNA". It matches the Rfam family "Bacterial small subunit ribosomal RNA", at positions 60 to 921 of the family's 1533-position model. The record is from RNAcentral. Lineage: Bacteria; Pseudomonadati; Pseudomonadota; Alphaproteobacteria.